RNAcentral lists this small RNA (48 nucleotides) under Streptomyces hundungensis. RNAcentral describes it as "Streptomyces sp. MBRL 251 raiA-hairpin RNA". It matches the Rfam family "raiA-hairpin RNA". Lineage: Bacteria; Bacillati; Actinomycetota; Actinomycetes; Kitasatosporales; Streptomycetaceae. The record is from Rfam by way of RNAcentral. RNAcentral also lists the same sequence under 1 other name.
CACCGAGUCCGACGCCCCGGCACUCACCGGGGUCUGGUGCAAAAGGGA